GUGGGGAAUCUUAGACAAUGGGGGAAACCCUGAUCUAGCCAUGCCGCGUGAGUGAUGAAGGCCUUAGGGUCGUAAAGCUCUUUCGCUGGGGAAGAUAAUGACUGUACCCAGUAAAGAAACCCCGGCUAACUCCGUGCCAGCAGCCGCGGUAAUACGGAGGGGGUUAGCGUUGUUCGGAAUUACUGGGCGUAAAGCGCGCGUAGGCGGAUUGGAAAGUUGGGGGUGAAAUCCCGGGGCUCAACCCCGGAAUUGCCUUCAAAACUCCCAGUCUUGAGGUCGAGAGAGGUGAGUGGAAUUCCGAGUGUAGAGGUGAAAUUCGUAGAUAUUCGGAGGAACACCAGUGGCGAAGGCGGCUCACUGGCUCGAUACUGACGCUGAGGUGCGAAAGCGUGGGGAGCAAACAGGAUUAGAUACCCUUGUAGUCC
Molecule: ribosomal RNA, 425 nt
Filed under: uncultured bacterium
Lineage: Bacteria
Description: partial 16S ribosomal RNA
Rfam family: Bacterial small subunit ribosomal RNA
Source: RNAcentral